Molecule: long non-coding RNA, 490 nt
Organism: Quercus lobata
Lineage: Eukaryota; Viridiplantae; Streptophyta; Magnoliopsida; Fagales; Fagaceae
Exons: 3
Source: RefSeq, a predicted model, not a curated record
GGGCCUUGGAGAAUCUGAUGAUGAGUUGAAAGAAGCUAUGGCUGAUUUAAGGGCUAUUGAUGUUGAUAUUUUGACUCUUGGACAGUAUUUACAGCCAACUCCACUACACCUGACUGUCAAAGAAUGUCACCCCUGAAAAGUUUGCUUUCUGGAAGGAAUACGGGGAGUCCAUUGGAUUUCGUUAUGUAGCCAGUGGGACCACUGGUCCGAUCCUCAUAUUGCGGACUUUCCAGUGGAUGGCUCAUGGCUGACAAGUUGACCACAAAAUGGUAAAUGAGAGCAGUAUGUAUUGGGGCAAAUGACUGUAAUGGUUGUCCUAAUUUAUUAUAGGGUAUAAAUUUUCUGGUUCUAGUAAAAAAAUAUCUUCAUUUCUUUGAGGAUUUUAUGUUUUAUUUUAUUUUCAUUGUUUUGUUUUGCUGGUAAUUGGUUGGGAAUUGUUGAGUGUAGGCAAUUUGUUUUGUUGGUUCCAAUUGGUUGCAUCUAAGUGUUG